UAAUUAUUUUAAGCUUAGAUAUAUCCAAAAUAAAAGAAAGUGUAAAAAUAAACAAUUUCAUAUUCUUAAUUAAAAUGAAACUAGCACAAUUUUUUCAUUUAUUUAAAUUAACUACCUCAUGAAAUGAAAAAGAGAUGUAUUUCAUCAAGGUAAAAUAAAUCCUCUAAAACUAAAACGAAAGUUAUAAAAUCAGAUAUACCAAUAUAGCAUUCCUAAAAAUGUUUGUGUUAUCUGAAAUCGCGUACAUUGGUCUCCAGAAAUAGCAAGACUAAUUUACUUAAUUUUUUCCAAAAUGUGUACGGAAAUAUUGUUUACAUAAUAUAAAUGAGAAAAAUGACACUCAACAAUAAAUAAUAAAUAAUAAUAAUCUACCAUCAAAUACUUUGUAUAACAAAUACGACACCACAUAAGGGCGGGUACAGACUAGAACAUUUCAACGGACAGAACAUUGUUCGCGAACAUGUUUGCAACCAAUGUGGACGGGAAAACGAACAUUUCCCCGUAACAAAAAAUGUUCGGUUGUUUGUUCGGUUGCGAUCCGAUAUUUGUCGGUUUUUGCCCGUCACAUCAAAGGAUGUUCGCCGUGGCUCGGAUAACAGUCUGGACGUCGCUGCGAACACUUCCUGCGAACAUUCAGUUGUCGACGUGGAGCGGUGUUGUCUUCACGGAGUUAGUAGCGGUGCGUGACUCUUUGUUAUAUGAGAAUGGAGUGGUCCAAGGAAGAUCAAAUAAAACUGAUAGAUUUGUAUAAACAACAAACAGUGAUAUGGGACCCAAACAAUGUUAAUCAUUUCAACAAAAUUAGAAAACAAGACGCGUGGGAAGAAAUCGGGGCCGAAAUGGACAGAGAUGUGGACGAAUGUAAGAAGAAAAUGGAGAGUUUGCUAUCAGCAUUAAGAAGGGAGAGGAAGAAAAUGAAAGACACUGCUGGAACUGGAAAAGGAACUGACGAAAUGUACAGAAGUUCCUGGUUCGCUUUCGAAAGUCUACGUUUCUUGCUGGACAAAAAUAAACCAAGAAAGACAAUUUCGACGAUGCGAGUAGAAAGCGAAGAGAGAGACGUAGAAUGUGGUGCAGUUGGAGAAUCAGCACAGGAAACUGUACCGAAAAAGAAGAAGCAGCGAGUCGAAGAUGCACGUCUGGACAAAGCCUUUCAUAUAUUGUCGUCCACCGCGAGUCAGCUUAACGAUGAGUGCCAACAUUUUGGAAAUUUGGUCGCAUCUAAGUUGAGACAGUACAACGUUGAUACUAGAUGUACAAUUGAAAAUGACAUUAUGGGUAUUUUCCUUCGUGCUAACAGGGGUUUCUACAAUAACACUCAGAAUUUUAUACAACCACACUAUCCAUGUCAUUUUCCAUCGGACAACUCUGUCAUGCAGUCAAACACUGUAUUGUCCAACCCUACAACCCCGUGUCCUUCAGCAGGAUCACCUACCUUGACGUCUGAUGAUGAUGAUUUCAUUAUUCACGAUCUCUUAUAAAAUAUUUUUGUUUUAAUUACAGUGCUCCUAAUGAUUUGUAACACAGUGUAAACAACUUUGGCAUUUCUUAUAAAUAAAUGUAGAAAAUUACGUUAAUAAAUCUUUCAAUUACACAGUACCGCAGAAUAAGUCAAUACUUACCUUAAUGUAAUCCUCAAGUCCUUCGAUGAGAGCAGAACACACUUCAGGAAUAACUGUGCUGAUAGUCUGUUUUGAAAUUUUAAAUACAUACUGAAGGCUGGUAUACGAAUCACCAGUUGCUAAAAAACGUAAUGUCAAUGCCAGUCUUUCUGUAAUUGGAAUUGCUUUUCUGAACGACGUAUCUCUCUUACCAAUUUUCGCUCCUAUCAAAUUGAUCAACCACUCAAAAUCUGAUGGGUGCAUUCUUGUAAAGUUCUUGUAAAGACCACUGACUGACUGAAAACUUAAGUCUGCCAACAAGUUCGAGCCACUAUAUGUUGUCCUACUUUCAUACAGUUUUGUAAUCCACCAACGGCGAGAUUUCCUUCGCUUUUUAACCGCAUAGUGAAUGUAAAUAUAUACAGCUGCUGCUACUUGCGCCUGUGUACUCAUCGUGCCACUGCUAAGUACGGAAUGGGUCACAGGGAACACACCUCGAACAAUGUUCGCAAACAAUGUUCUUUCGAAAUCUGAACACUGUUCGUAAAAUGUGUCGAACACUGUUCGCUGUUCUGUUCGCUAAAAUGUUCUAGUCUGUACCCGCCUUAAUGGGAGGUAGUUAUCGUCAGUCGGCUGGUUGACUUGCCCACCUGGGCGUGACCUUCAACUGACGUCGCAUACCUUUCCACUAAAUUUUCAAACCAUCCUUUACAGGCAGUGAAACUGAUAUUACUGUCCGGAUAUUUACAUUUUAAUUUUUCAAAAAAUUAAAGUGUUUAUUUGCGUAUCACGGCUUGGUUCACACCAAUCCUGUCAGGCCUAUGAUUUUUUUUCAUUACACCAUUCAUUUGACAAUUUUUUUCAUGUGAAUCAUUUGUUCAUUUCUUUUCCGGAAUCUAAUGACAAAUAUAUUCCUGCUAGUACAACAAACAGCAUCAGACCUAUACAAACGUUUGAUAGAGUCCUUAUUUCAUACUAUUGUGCACACAGUUGACUUGCUUAAAACUAAAGUGCCACCAAAUUAAGUGUUGCUUUCAUGACGUUCUGCAUGCCGUAAUACUUCUAGUUUUGUCUCAAAUACUGAAACACGAUGCAUUAUGCUCUUACUGGAAGCUAUGAUUCCACUAUGAUUCCAACUGCAGGUGCUUGCACACAUAAGUUACCUACUGGCAGAUGUUGCUUUUGUUUGUGCAUGCGAGUUCCCUGCCACUGGCUAGACUGAAGCUCAUCACAGCUCAAUCUGCUGCCGGGCGAGACAACGGUACGGCAUGGCGGCAUAUUCGCAGACGUAAAAACAUUUGGUCCUUUAUACGAUACGCCAUAGCCGCAACUGAACUUGCCAUAGCUGAUGUUUGUACAACACUCGAUAGUAUAGUCAGACCUGUGCUCAUCUCUUUCCCUCUCGUAUAGCUAACUGUGUGCCACUGUAUUUCUGUUGUUUACCGAGUUGAAGCACACUUCGUGGUGUGAUGCCCGACUUCUUUUUUGCCUGUGGCGAUUUUGUGCUAAUUGAAAUUUAUAUGCUAUACAAGACUGGGGAAGUAAAAUUAACAUUGCGCUAAAUGAAUUUGUGCGAGAGAGGGAUUGGUGUACUUGAUCUAUACUAAAAAUUAAAAAGUCUUACAGAUACCCACUUUAUAAAGUUGUAAAUAGUUUUGUUAUGAAUUAAAUCUUUUAUACACCUAAUAGUGUCUAUUUCUUUAGUAAAAAUUUUUGGAAUUAAUCAUAUACUUUUUUUAUAGUGGUAAACUAUCAGCAGUACUCUGAAUUUGUGCGAGUGAAGCCAAUGUUUGUUUAAGUUUAUUAUAAAGUAUAAACUCAUAUGUCUGUGGCCCGCAGAUUAGUUUCAAAAGAGUGAAGUCAGUG
Long non-coding RNA from Bacillus rossius redtenbacheri, 3467 nucleotides. RefSeq lists it as uncharacterized. The record is from RefSeq and is a predicted model, not a curated record. The transcript is spliced from 3 exons. NCBI's taxonomy places the organism in Eukaryota, Metazoa, Arthropoda, Insecta, Phasmatodea, Bacillidae.